This 465-nucleotide ribosomal RNA is filed under the name uncultured bacterium. RNAcentral describes it as "partial 16S ribosomal RNA". It matches the Rfam family "Bacterial small subunit ribosomal RNA", at positions 338 to 795 of the family's 1533-position model. The record is from RNAcentral.
CCUACGGGUGGCAGCAGUAGGGAAUCUUCCACAAUGGGCGAAAGCCUGAUGGAGCAACGCCGCGUGGGUGAAGAAUGUCUUCGGAUCGUAAAACUCUGUUGUUAGAGAAGAAAGUGCGUGAGAGUAACUGUUCACGUUUCGACGGUAUCUAACCAGAAAGCCACGGCUAACUACGUGCCAGCAGCCGCGGUAAUACGUAGGUGGCAAGCGUUAUCCGGAUUUAUUGGGCGUAAAGGGAACGCAGGCGGUCUUUUAAGUCUGAUGUGAAAGCCUUCGGCUUAACCGGAGUAGUGCAUUGGAAACUGGGAGACUUGAGUGCAGUAGAGGAGAGUGGAACUCCAUGUGUAGCGGUGAAAUGCGUAGAUAUAUGGAAGAACACCAGUGGCGAAAGCGGCUCUCUGGUCUGUAACUGACGCUGAGGUUCGAAAGCGUGGGUAGCAAACAGGAUUAGAUACCCCGGUAGUC